This is a long non-coding RNA of Herpailurus yagouaroundi (jaguarundi), 289 nucleotides long. RefSeq lists it as uncharacterized. NCBI's taxonomy places the organism in Eukaryota, Metazoa, Chordata, Mammalia, Carnivora, Felidae. The transcript is spliced from 3 exons. The record is from RefSeq and is a predicted model, not a curated record.
AGUGAGGAGUUGGGAAAGAAAGGAAAACAUAAGAUGAGAUCACUCUAUGAACAAGUGACGGUUUGAAGUGGGUCACCUCAUUGCCAUCGCAUAAGCACCUUAUUGCACCAACCCAAGGAAUCACCUGCAAGUGAACAGUGAAGGUUCAAUAAGGAUGGAAAAGAGUACUGAUAGCAAUUUGGAAGCAAAUCUAAGGAGUGCAUACUUUUCAUUAAAAGGUUAUUUCGUGCUUCCUCUCUUCCACACGAUCAAGAUCUUCAAAGUAAGCAUCUUUCAAAGGAACGACAAG